UAGAUUUGAGGUUGGAAAUGGCUCCCAACACGCUAUCUUUUAGAUAGUUACCAGAGAUGCAGGAUACGCCGCCCUGCCAACUCUA
This is a small RNA of Clostridium sp., 85 nucleotides long. It matches the Rfam family "skipping-rope RNA". Rfam says of the family: Firmicutes, Fusobacteria, AlphaProteobacteria, Spirochaetes. Downstream gene Lineage: Bacteria; Bacillati; Bacillota; Clostridia; Eubacteriales; Clostridiaceae. The record is from Rfam.